AUAUAUCAUUGUAUUUUGCCUCGUAUAAUUGUGGAGAUAUGGUCCACGAGUUUCUACCGGACGGCCGUAAACUGUUCGACUACGGGGGAAACACCUGGGAUG
Molecule: non-coding RNA, 102 nt
Filed under: Halothermothrix orenii
Lineage: Bacteria; Bacillati; Bacillota; Clostridia; Halanaerobiales; Halothermotrichaceae
Also listed under: 1 other name
Description: Guanine sequence
Rfam family: Purine riboswitch aptamer
About the family: Riboswitches are metabolite binding domains within certain messenger RNAs that serve as precision sensors for their corresponding targets. Allosteric rearrangement of mRNA structure is mediated by ligand binding, and this results in modulation of gene expression. A class of riboswitches that selectively recognises guanine and becomes saturated at concentrations as low as 5 nM.
Source: RNAcentral